GACCGGCGCACGGGUGAGUAACGCGUAUGCAACCUACCCAUAACUGGGGGAUAACCCGUCGAAAGGCGGCCUAAUACCCCAUAAUAACGCUGAUCCUCAUGGCGAUUAUUGUAAAGAAUUUCGGUUAUGGAUGGGCAUGCGUGACAUUAGGUAGUUGGUGAGGUAACGGCUCACCAAGCCCACGAUGUCUAGGGGUUCUGAGAGGAAGGUCCCCCACACUGGUACUGAGACACGGACCAGACUCCUACGGGAGGCAGCAGUGAGGAAUAUUGGUCAAUGGGCGAGAGCCUGAACCAGCCAAAUCGCGUGAAGGAUGAAGGUAUUAUGUAUUGUAAACUUCUUUUGUCAGGGAAUAAAGUGCAGCACGUGUGCUGUUUUGUAUGUACCUGAAGAAUAAGCAUCGGCUAACUCCGUGCCAGCAGCCGCGGUAAUACGGAGGAUGCGAGCGUUAUCCGGAUUUAUUGGGUUUAAAGGGUGCGUAGGCGGACUAUUAAGUCAGCGGUGAAAGUUCUCGGCUCAACCGAGGAAUUGCCGUUGAAACUGGUAGUCUUGAGUGUACAUGAGGUGGGCGGAAUUCGUAGUGUACCGGUGAAAUGCUUAUAUAUUACAAAGAACUCCAAUUGCGAGGCAGCUCACUAGGCUACAACUGACGCUGACGCACGAAGGUGCGGGGAUCAAACAGGAUUAGAUACCCUGGUAGUCCGCACAGUAAACGAUGAAUACUAACUGUUUGCGAUACACAGCAAGUGGUACAGUGAAUACAUUAAGUAUUCCACCUGGGGAGUACGCCAGCAACAGUGAAACUCAAAGGAAUUGACGGGUGCCCGCACAAGCUUAGAAACAUGUGGUUUAAUUCGAUG
RNAcentral lists this ribosomal RNA (860 nucleotides) under uncultured bacterium. Its description in RNAcentral is "bacterial SSU rRNA". It matches the Rfam family "Bacterial small subunit ribosomal RNA", at positions 93 to 956 of the family's 1533-position model. The record is from RNAcentral.